UUUGAGCACUGGUCCCUGUACGUGCAUCAGAACGGGCUGGUGUGAGCCGUGGCUGCCUGUCCGGGGAUUUACGUAGAAACCUUGCCCCUUGGUCAUGCAGUUUAGGGCCUUCACCCUUCCAGGCAUACUUAGGUGUACCUAUACUGGUGUCACCUCAAAAGUAUGGUAGCAGUGCUUACCCGGAUACCCCCCUUUCUCCGUGUCAAUAGUGGACAACUUGGUAUUGCUCAGU
This is a non-coding RNA of Pelobates cultripes (western spadefoot toad), 232 nucleotides long. The record is from the annotation of a GenBank genome assembly. Lineage: Eukaryota; Metazoa; Chordata; Amphibia; Anura; Pelobatidae.